This 253-nucleotide ribosomal RNA is filed under the name uncultured bacterium. RNAcentral describes it as "partial 16S ribosomal RNA". It matches the Rfam family "Bacterial small subunit ribosomal RNA", at positions 524 to 776 of the family's 1533-position model. The record is from RNAcentral.
UACAGAGGUCCCAAGCGUUGUUCGGAUUCACUGGGCGUAAAGGGUGCGUAGGCGGGUUUUUAAGUCAGGGGUGAAAUCCUGGAGCUCAACUCCAGAACUGCCUUUGAUACUGAAGAUCUUGAGUCCGGGAGAGGUGAGUGGAACUGCGAGUGUAGAGGUGAAAUUCGUAGAUAUUCGCAAGAACACCAGUGGCGAAGGCGGCUCACUGGCCCGAUACUGACGCUGAGGUGCGAAAGCGUGGGGAGCAAACAGG